GACGAACGCUGGCGGCGUGCUUAACACAUGCAAGUCGAACGGUAAGGCCCUUCGGGGUACACGAGUGGCGAACGGGUGAGUAACACGUGGGUGAUCUGCCCUGCACUUCGGGAUAAGCCUGGGAAACUGGGUCUAAUACCGGAUAGGACCCUGGGAUGCAUGUCCUGGGGUGGAAAGCUUUUGCGGUGUGGGAUGGGCCCGCGGCCUAUCAGCUUGUUGGUGGGGUGAUGGCCUACCAAGGCGACGACGGGUAGCCGGCCUGAGAGGGUGAUCUGCCACACCGGAACUGAGACACGGUCCGGACUCCUACGGGAGGCAGCAGUGGGGAAUAUUGGACAAUGGACGAAAGUCUGAUCCAGCGAUGCCGCGUGAGUGAAGAAUGUCUUCGGAUUGUAAAGCUCUUUUGUCAGGGAAGAAAAGUGCUGUAAUAACACUACGGCACAAUGACGGUACCUGAAGAAUAAGGAUCGGCUAACUACGUGCCAGCAGCCGCGGUAA
RNAcentral lists this ribosomal RNA (498 nucleotides) under uncultured bacterium. Its description in RNAcentral is "partial 16S ribosomal RNA". It matches the Rfam family "Bacterial small subunit ribosomal RNA", at positions 28 to 523 of the family's 1533-position model. The record is from RNAcentral.